Molecule: ribosomal RNA, 254 nt
Filed under: uncultured bacterium
Lineage: Bacteria
Description: partial 16S ribosomal RNA
Rfam family: Bacterial small subunit ribosomal RNA
Source: RNAcentral
UACGGGGGGGGUAAGCGUUGUUCGGAAUUACUGGGCGUAAAGGGCUCGUAGGCGGCCAACUAAGUCAGACGUGAAAUCCCUCAGCUUAACUGGGGAACUGCGUCUGAUACUGCCGUGACUUGAGUCUGGUAGGGGAGUGCGGAAUUCCCGGUGUAGCGGUGAAAUGCGCAGAUAUCGGGAGGAACACCAGUGGCGAAGGCGGCACUCUGGGCCAGUACUGACGCUGAGGAGCGAAAGCGUGGGGAGCGAACAGG